RNAcentral lists this ribosomal RNA (588 nucleotides) under Podocorynoides minima. RNAcentral's name for it is "partial 16S ribosomal RNA". It matches the Rfam family "Bacterial large subunit ribosomal RNA", at positions 1833 to 2597 of the family's 2925-position model. The record is from RNAcentral. Lineage: Eukaryota; Metazoa; Cnidaria; Hydrozoa; Anthoathecata; Rathkeidae.
GCCCCCGUAAUUGUCGGAGGUGUGACCUGCCCAAUGAUUUUAGACUUAGAAUAAACCUCUAAUAAUAAAUUUAAAGGACGCGGUAUCUUGACCGUGAUAAUGUAGCAUAAUCACUUGCCAUUUAAUUGAUGGAUUGUAUGAAUGGUUCGACGAAUAUUCCACUGUCUUUGCAGGAGAUCUCUUUAAAUUGAACUAACAGUUAAGAUGCUGUUUAAGCUUAUAAGACGAAAAGACCCUAUAGAGCUUAACCAUAGUCUUCUUUAUUAUAAAAACAAAGAAAUGAAAACAAGGGAGAUUGGUGGUUUGGUUGGGGCGACCGCCUUUUAUAAAAAACAAAGGCAAGCAAAGUUAAUCCUAAACUUAUUGUAAAGAAAACACUCUUAACAAUUAUAAAUAUAGGUGAUAAUGACCCGUUGCAAAACCAUAACAUAUGCAACGAUCAAUGAAUAAAAGCUACCUUAGGGAUAACAGGGUAAUCUUCUCCUAGAGAUCUUAUCGAAGAGAAGGUUUGCCACCUCUAUGUUGAAUUAAGGUAUCCUCUUAAUGCAGAAGUUAAGAAAGGUAGGUCUGUUCGACCUAUAAAACCUU